GACGAACCUGACGAACGUUAUUCGGAAUCACUGGGCUUAAAGGGUGCGUAGGCUGUGCAGAAAGUUGGGUGUGAAAUCCCUCGGCUUAACCGAGGAACUGCGCCCAAAACUACUGUGCUCGAGUGAGAUAGAGGUGAGCGGAACUUAGGGUGGAGCGGUGAAAUGCGUUGAUAUCCUAAGGAACACCGGUGGCGAAAGCGGCUCACUGGGUCUCAACUGACGCUGAGGCACGAAAGCCAGGGGAGCGAACGGG
This 253-nucleotide ribosomal RNA is filed under the name uncultured bacterium. RNAcentral describes it as "partial 16S ribosomal RNA". It matches the Rfam family "Bacterial small subunit ribosomal RNA", at positions 524 to 776 of the family's 1533-position model. The record is from RNAcentral.